Molecule: ribosomal RNA, 717 nt
Filed under: Bacillus sp. CH449b
Lineage: Bacteria; Bacillati; Bacillota; Bacilli; Caryophanales; Bacillaceae
Description: bacterial SSU rRNA
Rfam family: Bacterial small subunit ribosomal RNA
Source: RNAcentral
GAGCGAAUGGAUUGAGAGCUUGCUCUCAAGAAGUUAGCGGCGGACGGGUGAGUAACACGUGGGUAACCUGCCCAUAAGACUGGGAUAACUCCGGGAAACCGGGGCUAAUACCGGAUAACAUUUUGAACUGCAUGGUUCGAAAUUGAAAGGCGGCUUCGGCUGUCACUUAUGGAUGGACCCGCGUCGCAUUAGCUAGUUGGUGAGGUAACGGCUCACCAAGGCAACGAUGCGUAGCCGACCUGAGAGGGUGAUCGGCCACACUGGGACUGAGACACGGCCCAGACUCCUACGGGAGGCAGCAGUAGGGAAUCUUCCGCAAUGGACGAAAGUCUGACGGAGCAACGCCGCGUGAGUGAUGAAGGCUUUCGGGUCGUAAAACUCUGUUGUUAGGGAAGAACAAGUGCUAGUUGAAUAAGCUGGCACCUUGACGGUACCUAACCAGAAAGCCACGGCUAACUACGUGCCAGCAGCCGCGGUAAUACGUAGGUGGCAAGCGUUAUCCGGAAUUAUUGGGCGUAAAGCGCGCGCAGGUGGUUUCUUAAGUCUGAUGUGAAAGCCCACGGCUCAACCGUGGAGGGUCAUUGGAAACUGGGAGACUUGAGUGCAGAAGAGGAAAGUGGAAUUCCAUGUGUAGCGGUGAAAUGCGUAGAGAUAUGGAGGAACACCAGUGGCGAAGGCGACUUUCUGGUCUGUAACUGACACUGAGGCGCGAAAGCG